This 434-nucleotide ribosomal RNA is filed under the name uncultured bacterium. RNAcentral describes it as "partial 16S ribosomal RNA". It matches the Rfam family "Bacterial small subunit ribosomal RNA", at positions 27 to 507 of the family's 1533-position model. The record is from RNAcentral.
GAACGAACGCUGGCGGCAGGCCUAACACAUGCAAGUCGAGCGAGCAUUUCGGUGCUAGCGGCGGACGGGUGAGUAACGCGUGGGAACGUGCCCUUUUCUGCGGAAUAGUCCUGGGAAACUGGGGGUAAUACCGCAUACGCCCUUUUGGGGAAAGAUUUAUCGGAGAAGGAUCGGCCCGCGUUGGAUUAGGUAGUUGGUGGGGUAAUGGCCCACCAAGCCGACGAUCCAUAGCUGGUUUGAGAGGAUGAUCAGCCACACUGGGACUGAGACACGGCCCAGACUCCUACGGGAGGCAGCAGUGGGGAAUCUUAGACAAUGGGGGCAACCCUGAUCUAGCCAUGCCGCGUGAGUGAUGAAGGCCUUAGGGUUGUAAAGCUCUUUCAGCUGGGAAGAUAAUGACGGUACCAGCAGAAGAAGCCCCGGCUAACUCCGUG